Long non-coding RNA from Hemibagrus wyckioides, 1144 nucleotides. RefSeq lists it as uncharacterized. The record is from RefSeq and is a predicted model, not a curated record. The transcript is spliced from 2 exons. NCBI's taxonomy places the organism in Eukaryota, Metazoa, Chordata, Actinopteri, Siluriformes, Bagridae.
UUGGAAGUUAAAGGAGAGAGACACUUCACAAAGGAAGUUGCAGACGUUUUAAACGUUUUAAAUAAUAUACAUUGGGGGAAAAAAAAUUUGUUAGUAUUGUUAGUAAUGACAACCCCGGGGUGUUAUAUCAAUUAUAUCUGAUGUAGGCUACUGGUUUCAUAUAUCUAAUACACUGUAGCUUUAAAACAAAUCUCAUACAGUAAGGGCGGUUCCAGUGAUAAAGAAAUAAAAGGAAAGGAAGGUCCAGCUCUCUUCAUUUCAUCGACUCGCCUCGACUGGACCUUCAUCUUCUGCUGAAUCACGAGACGAAACUUGGGGUCAGUAAGCAGAACCUAAGAGCGACAAUGACAGGCCAGGAGGUGGAUGACGAGGCUGACGAUGACGAUGAUACGAUGCACUGUGUCAAUCGGGAAGCUUGAUCGAGGUCUGCCACCAAGGGCAGACCACAGGAGCUGAACCAGUAGAAGAUCAAUGCAUGUGUGCGAGAGCGACGCGUCGACUGGUUGAGCCGUACUUGGAUAUAAAGCUGUUUGCAAACGAAUUAUCAUAAAGGAAUCUAUGUAGAAAUCUGUUGUUUCUACACCACUACUUCUUCAAAGGAUAUUUUUCUGCUGUUGUGUAAUUAUGGAUUAGUCUGAUAUACAUGGAUGUGUCUCACUGUAUUGCUGAAAAGUCAUUGUUGUGUUCCUGAAAGCCUAUACAAUGAAACAGAUAAAGUUUUACAAUACAUACAAUUUAUGACGAGUCAAGUAAAUACAGAACGUGAUGUAUACUUGUAUUAUCUGUGACCUCCAUAAUCUACAGCUUCUGUAUUUCCCUUGGUUGUGUGAAUGGGGUCCUGACUGACUGGCUGGUAGGAGGAAGUGCGCACUUUAAAUCAGGAAAUGAGCCUCCUGGUUCUUAAUAAACCUUCGUACAGAAUUGUAAACACCACAGAAGGUGAUAAAAAAUAUCACUUCUUGUUUUAAAGUGCGUGCUUGUAAUGUAGCGUAUUGAUCUAAACGCCGGUCUGGAUGGAGUCACACAGAAACACCCCAUUUUCCUUCCUUUGUUUGUCUUUUCCUUUCUUCAGUCUGACCCUUUCAUUCGGACUUCAACAGAUUAUGUGGAUGAAUCCUGAAUCUGAAUAAAAGUGAAUCAUUCA